GGGGGGAGGUGGGGGAAGGUGGGGGGCUCCGUGCUGCCAGCCUCGUGGCCCGGGGGGGCAGGCGGGGGAUCUGUGCCUCCCUCCCUCUGCCA
Turdus rufiventris (rufous-bellied thrush) is the source of this 92-nucleotide non-coding RNA. NCBI's taxonomy places the organism in Eukaryota, Metazoa, Chordata, Aves, Passeriformes, Turdidae. The record is from the annotation of a GenBank genome assembly.